AUUGAACGCUGGCGGCAGGCCUAACACAUGCAAGUCGAACGGUAACAGGAAGAAGCUUGCUUCUUUGCUGACGAGUGGCGGACGGGUGAGUAAUGUCUGGGAAACUGCCUGAUGGAGGGGGAUAACUACUGGAAACGGUAGCUAAUACCGCAUAACGUCGCAAGACCAAAAAGGGGGACCUUCGGGCCUCUUGCCAUCGGAUGUGCCCAGAUGGGAUUAGCUAGUAGGUGGGGUAACGGCUCACCUAGGCGACGAUCCCUAGCUGGUCUGAGAGGAUGACCAGCCACACUGGAACUGAGACACGGUCCAGACUCCUACGGGAGGCAGCAGUGGGGAAUAUUGCACAAUGGGCGCAAGCCUGAUGCAGCCAUGCCGCGUGUAUGAAGAAGGCCUUCGGGUUGUAAAGUACUUUCAGCGGGGAGGAAGGGAGUAAAGUUAAUAACUUUGCUCAUUGACGUUACCCGCAGAAGAAGCACCGGCUAACUCCGUG
This 490-nucleotide ribosomal RNA is filed under the name uncultured bacterium. RNAcentral's name for it is "partial 16S ribosomal RNA". It matches the Rfam family "Bacterial small subunit ribosomal RNA", at positions 30 to 507 of the family's 1533-position model. The record is from RNAcentral.